RNAcentral lists this transfer RNA (61 nucleotides) under Acinetobacter baumannii. Its description in RNAcentral is "tRNA-Asp". It matches the Rfam family "tRNA", at positions 7 to 64 of the family's 71-position model. From Rfam's summary of the family: Transfer RNA (tRNA) molecules are approximately 80 nucleotides in length. Their secondary structure includes four short double-helical elements and three loops (D, anti-codon, and T loops). Further hydrogen bonds mediate the characteristic L-shaped molecular structure. tRNAs have two regions of fundamental functional importance: the anti-codon, which is responsible for specific mRNA codon recognition, and the 3' end, to which the tRNAs corresponding amino acid is attached (by aminoacyl-tRNA synthetases). tRNAs cope with the degeneracy of the genetic code in two manners: having more than one tRNA (with a specific anti-codon) for a particular amino acid; and 'wobble' base-pairing, i.e. permitting non-standard base-pairing at the 3rd anti-codon position. The record is from RNAcentral. RNAcentral also lists the same sequence under 4 other names. Lineage: Bacteria; Pseudomonadati; Pseudomonadota; Gammaproteobacteria; Moraxellales; Moraxellaceae.
GUAGUUCAGUCGGUUAGAAUACCUGCCUGUCACGCAGGGGGUCGCGGGUUCGAGUCCCGUC